This is a long non-coding RNA of Prionailurus viverrinus (fishing cat), 203 nucleotides long. RefSeq lists it as uncharacterized. NCBI's taxonomy places the organism in Eukaryota, Metazoa, Chordata, Mammalia, Carnivora, Felidae. The record is from RefSeq and is a predicted model, not a curated record. The transcript is spliced from 3 exons.
AUUAGCAGAACGGAGUCGCCGGAGCCAAACGCAGACAAGACGCCCACGGAAGAGGAUAGGAAGGGCAGCGAGGCGGUGCGCGCUCCACAGACUGGCGGGAGGGAGCCGGGGCACAGGGGCAGCUCGCGGCCAAGCAGAGCCCUCGAGUCUGGCUUGCAAAAGCGGAGGGGCCUGAUGGACUGUCUAUUAUCACAUCUGACUCU